RNAcentral lists this microRNA (21 nucleotides) under Ornithorhynchus anatinus (platypus). RNAcentral's name for it is "oan-miR-7422a-3p". The record is from miRBase by way of RNAcentral. Lineage: Eukaryota; Metazoa; Chordata; Mammalia; Monotremata; Ornithorhynchidae.
ACUUCUGAGGCUCUUUCGACA